UCGCCUGUUUUCAAAAACAUCUUUUCUUGUUAGUUUUUGAAGUAUGGCCUGCCCGCUGACUUUGGUGUUGAAGGGCCGCGGUAUUUUGACCGUGCAAAGGUAGCAUAGUCAUUAGUUCUUUAAUUGUGAUCUGGUAUGAAUGGCUUGACGAGGCAUGGGCUGUCUUAAUUUUGAAUUGUUUAUUGAAUUUGGUCUUUGAGUUAAAAUUCUUAGAUGUUUUUAUGGGACGAGAAGACCCUAUAGAGUUUGACAUUUGUUACGGUCCCCUUUUGUUUGUGAGGGUUCACUGGGCCGUUUAAUAUGUUUUGUUGGGGUGAUGGGAGGGAUAUAAAUGAACCCCUCCUUUUGUUAUUAUAUUUAUUUAUAUUUACUUGAUCC
RNAcentral lists this ribosomal RNA (378 nucleotides) under Reticulitermes planifrons. Its description in RNAcentral is "partial 16S ribosomal RNA". The record is from RNAcentral. Lineage: Eukaryota; Metazoa; Arthropoda; Insecta; Blattodea; Rhinotermitidae.